Girardinichthys multiradiatus is the source of this 1737-nucleotide long non-coding RNA. RefSeq lists it as uncharacterized. Lineage: Eukaryota; Metazoa; Chordata; Actinopteri; Cyprinodontiformes; Goodeidae. The record is from RefSeq and is a predicted model, not a curated record. The transcript is spliced from 2 exons.
CAGAAGGACCGGCUGUUGCUCCGGCUGUAGGAGGAGGUUGAACAGAAGAGAGAAGGUGGUUAGACAUCCCUGUAGUGAGGCGGAGAGCUGGUCUAACCGCUGCAUGGUGUGGUUCUGUUGUUCGAAAAGUAGGUUAAAACGUGCAUCUUGCUGGGUGGAUAUCUGGGACGGUUCAGAGGAUACCCUAGUGGGCGAUUCUGCUGGGUCAUACUGGCCUGAUGCUUCUGUCAUAUUAGGAGCGAUCUUUUUGACCCACAUGCAGAAUCACUCUAGAACACAGGUAAGUUUUAAAGGUUUAAUCAGGCUGGAUGAUAGUUGGAGCUUGCAGAGGCAGCUGGCAGCUGGUUUCCAGGGUUUUCUGUCCAAGUGUGAAGAAAGUGAAUCCAGAGUUGAGAUCAGCCAAAAACACGAGCUUAGGUUACUGCAAUGUUUGCACAAAGACUUACAAAGUUUCAACCAAGAACUUGGAAACUGGUAUCUCGGAGGCAUGAGUUACCACUCAACGUGGAGCAUCAGGAGAAGAAUGCUUGUCCUGCAGCUCCUUAAAAGGGACUUUACAGCUGUGAAGUCAGUGAUGAAGAAUAUACCACCAUAACUGAGAGCUGUGUGAAAGGAGGUGAAGGUGGAGGUGAAAGUAAAGCAACAAGUUAAAACUCCACAAAUCAUUAAAGACAUUAAGAUUUUCUGCCAAAUAAUUACAAAGCAUAAAACAUAGCUUCAUCCUUUCAAUGUCUUUGUUUUAUUUCAGAUCGUUCAUUCAGACCUGCAGUUGUGUCAGGAGUUAUUGUUCUGUUUAUAGUGAAAUGUGUUUGCAUUUUGUGCCUAGAAGACGAAGAGGUAAAAAGUACUUGAGUUCAGUUACAAAUCCUUACAUUACGUUUGUACUGAUGAUGUCAUCUGACCUUAAAUAGUUUCAGGUCAAUCAACACAAGCAGGAACGUGAACGAACAAGACAUCUGGAAUUAGCUGACUGUGUGGCUGGACAACAGUGUCCUAAGGACUGGUUCUUUACCAAAGUAGUUUUCCUAAAGUCUGAAACAAGAUGACACCUGAACAGCUGCAGGAAUCCUCACACAGCCGCCCUCAAAUGUUUCACAGCGCAGACAUUUAUUAGUUGGGUCAUAAAUUAAUGACUGAGUCAACAAGUAAUAUUAUGAAUAAUUCUUUCAAAUGUGGCCGAUAGUAACAACCUGAAGGUUGUAACUGAUGAAGCCAUUACUGAUAUGUUUCUGAAUGUUUGAAAAUUGUUUUAAUUCUUUGAAUUAUAUUUAACAUUUAGGUCUUUCUAUGAAUAUUUCUUUAUUUAGCAUUCUGUUUAACUUCAUCUUUUAAUGUUUCUGUUACUUUUAAAUAAAGGUUCUCAAACCUCAGUUGUUGCUGUGUGAAUAUUAAUUAACAGACUUUUUCACUAUAAACAAACAUGGUUCUAAUCUGGCUAAAUUUUAUUUUCUAGGAGUCAAAUGAUCUUUUUUGGAGGAAAAAAUGUGGACUAAUGUGAUAAAGAGACGCCUUAUAUCUUCUGACGACCAAUCGCUGCACUGGUAGAACGCUGAGUGUAUUUCCAGUUUUUAUUAAUUAAAAUUCACAGUAGGUAUGUAUUAUGAAUAUUAAUAUGAGGAAAACAACCGAUUUUUAACAGAAACAUGACUGUAUCGAGGUUCUGAGAGUCUAACAGGUAGAAUGUAUGUUGGUUUAGCAGCGCCCUCUGCUGGCCAGGACCUGAAACAAUAAGAAACA